RNAcentral lists this ribosomal RNA (495 nucleotides) under uncultured bacterium. RNAcentral's name for it is "partial 16S ribosomal RNA". It matches the Rfam family "Bacterial small subunit ribosomal RNA", at positions 28 to 507 of the family's 1533-position model. The record is from RNAcentral.
GGCGAACGCUGGCGGCGUGCCUAAUACAUGCAAGUAGAACGCUGAAGGAGGAGCUUGCUUCUCUGGAUGAGUUGCGAACGGGUGAGUAACGCGUAGGUAACCUGCCUGGUAGCGGGGGAUAACUAUUGGAAACGAUAGCUAAUACCGCAUAAUAGUAGAUGUUGCAUGACAUUUGCUUAAAAGGUGCAAUUGCAUCACUACCAGAUGGACCUGCGUUGUAUUAGCUAGUUGGUGGGGUAACGGCUCACCAAGGCGACGAUACAUAGCCGACCUGAGAGGGGGAUCGGCCACACUGGGACUGAGACACGGCCCAGACUCCUACGGGAGGCAGCAGUAGGGAAUCUUCGGCAAUGGACGGAAGUCUGACCGAGCAACGCCGCGUGAGUGAAGAAGGUUUUCGGAUCGUAAAGCUCUGUUGUAAGAGAAGAACGAGUGUGAGAGUGGAAAGUUCACACUGUGACGGUAUCUUACCAGAAAGGGACGGCUAACUACGUG